CUAUUUUUAGUUUAUAAUGUUUAGUCAAAUAGCAACAAUGAUUUUUCUUCUUUUUUCCAAUUCAGCUGCACGGUGUGUUGGAGGGGGUCUCGAUGGCCUGUGACCUUGCCUUUAUCUGUCAGUCUGUCACCACUGGUCUUCAAAGUGCAGCUUAAAGGAUCUGAGGCUUCUGUGUGGCCUUGAUGUGAUCUGCUUUCCUGGUGCAUUCAGCUACAGGAUGCCCACAGAAGGAUGCAGAGAAGUUGAAGCAGCAUUUGCUACUUUCCUGAAGCACAGCUACCUAAGCAGAGCUCUGUUGUCACCUUUGCUCUGCUCUUGCCACACUGCAGCACCUAGCCCUGGGCAUGAUUGAAGCUGGGAACCAAAAGCUGGCCAGCACAGAGCCCAAAAUACCCAAGGACAUCCAUGACACAAUCUCAGAAGAGCCUGUACCAGCUUAUAAAUUGUCUGUGCAGUGGGAUCUGUCAGGGGGAAGCACAGCGUGCCUCCAUGGAGACGACAAAGUUUGGGACUGAAGCAGUGAGAGGCACGGGAUCAUCAUGGAGCAGUGCUGUGAGCUUUGGUAAUAAACUGACCCUGCAGAAGAGAGAAGGAGGAAGGAGAGGGUUCCUGUUGCCCUGGGCAUGGUGCAGGUAGCCCAGGGCAACUAUCACUAAGAGAC
This 661-nucleotide long non-coding RNA is filed under the name Manacus vitellinus (golden-collared manakin). Its description in RNAcentral is "lncRNA (ENSMVIG00005004078.1)". Lineage: Eukaryota; Metazoa; Chordata; Aves; Passeriformes; Pipridae. The record is from RNAcentral.